Long non-coding RNA from Manacus vitellinus (golden-collared manakin), 248 nucleotides. RefSeq lists it as uncharacterized. NCBI's taxonomy places the organism in Eukaryota, Metazoa, Chordata, Aves, Passeriformes, Pipridae. The transcript is spliced from 2 exons. The record is from RefSeq and is a predicted model, not a curated record.
UAAGACCUACAUGGACUUACGUUACACUAGUGCUUUCAACACUAGGAGCCUUGAAGGCCUUUUCUGGAGGAAGGCAGUUGGAUGUAAAGAAACAAGCAUCUUCUGGAGAUGAAGAUACUCUUCAGCACUUGAAUAAAAUGAGAAAAGAAAUUGAGCAAACUUGCAACGGCUUCAGAUAAGGAUUGGCAGGAACUAAUACUAACAUAUUAUACUAAUAAAAGUUGAAACUCUGCUCUGUAGGUCAGCCU